UGGACAGAUUAUUGUAUUCGACUGUAUUCGAUUGUAUUCACGGCGUGAAACAGAGGAUUACGCUGUUUUUAAAUGGAAAGUGAAUCAAUUAACAUAAUAGACUCCU
Molecule: non-coding RNA, 106 nt
Organism: Nicotiana sylvestris (wood tobacco)
Lineage: Eukaryota; Viridiplantae; Streptophyta; Magnoliopsida; Solanales; Solanaceae
Source: Rfam